AGGUAAGGGAGGGUUUCAGCACCUGUCCUCCGCCUCCUUUUCUAACGUCACUUCCGGUCCUUUCAGAGUCAGGAACUACAUCUCCCAGAGUGCUCCGGGAGGGGAGGGGGGUGCUUCCGCCCUCUCCAGCUCAGGCUGCAGAAUAAUGUCCAUGUUUUGCUCCAGUUCAUCCCGUCCUCUCAUUGGACAGGGCAGAGAAAUGGCUGCAGAGGAGCCAGUUCAGGGGCCGGUGACCUUCGAGGAGGUGGUUGUGUAUUUCACCAGGGAAGAAUGGGCUCUGCUGGACCCCACUCAGAGAGCCCUCUACUGGGAUGUCAUGCAGGAGAACUAUGAGAUUGUGAUCUCGUUGGGUAAGGGUUACUGUCCCCUUGGUUCUUGGAAGGGGAAAUGAAGAGUUAAGGUUCACGCCAGCCCCACAAUGCCACCUCUACUCUGUCCUGUUUCAGCAUCACCCCAAUAUGCCAGUGACAUACCCACUACCGGAGACCUUCCCCUGCUGCAGAACACUUUGGGAACAGAGCACAGGAGUAAUAUCGCACAGUGUCAAAUAUCUCGUUUGCUCAGGGUUUCCAGUUUCCAAAUCUGAUGUGAUCUCUCAGCUGGAACAAGGGGAAGAAUCAUGGGUCUCAGAUCUCCAGGGUUCAGAGGAAAGACAGAUCCUGAGAGCUCCCUGCACAGCAGGUGAUGCAAUGGUAUGUGACAAAGAGGAGCAGAAUUCUCAGCAGGAAAAUGUUGAGCAAGUGGAUAAACGCAGAGCAUUAUCGCAAAGAUCAAAAAGGAAUGUGUCCAGGAGUUAUGAGAAGGAAAAAUCCUGUGAAAUUCAGCACAGACCAGAAAGAGUGCAGGGAAACCAGCCAGGGGAGAAAAUGGGUAAAUUUAUUUCCUGUCGGGGAACUCAGAAGAGCGUCAAGGAAACCACAACACAGCAGGAAAUCCUCAUGGGAAAGAGGAAAAAUACAUGCAGUGAGUGUGGAAAAUGCUUCACUCAAAGAUCAAAUCUUGUUCAGCAUGAGAGAAUCCACACAGGCGAGAGGCCCUAUGAAUGCAGUGAGUGUGGGAAAACCUUCACUCAAAGAUCAGGCCUUUUUCUCCAUUGGAGAAUCCACACAGGGGAGAGGCCCUACAAAUGCCAUGAGUGUGGGAAAAGCUUCAUUAGCAGCUCAGCCCUUUCUAAACAUCAGAGAAUCCACACAGGGGAGAGGCCCUAUGAAUGCCGUGAG
Non-coding RNA from Chrysemys picta bellii (western painted turtle), 1220 nucleotides. NCBI's taxonomy places the organism in Eukaryota, Metazoa, Chordata, Testudines, Emydidae. The record is from RefSeq and is a predicted model, not a curated record.